UUCAAAGUCAUGCCUGCAAAGGGAAGAGUAGACAGAAACGCAGAUGGAAAAACCAGGAAAGCGUGGUCCCCCAGGCCCCAUGGGAUGAAAGAGGUUCAUGAAGGAGGCAUCCCAGGAGUGUCAGAUGUUGACAAUGGGUCAAGUUAAGUAAACUGAGAAUUGCUUGUUGGCAUUAACAGCUAAAUCACUGAUGAGCAUGAUUGCACUUCUUCUGUCAGGAUGUUGGAGAGAGAAUGCAGUUGCAGUGGAUUGAGAAUGACUGGGAAUGGGUAGGGAAGGCAGAAGAGACCAUGAGCAAAGACUGAUAUUUAAUAAGCCAACUGUAAAGAGGAAAAGAGGCAUGCAGCAUGAAGCGGGAGACUUGGAAUCAGGGAACGAGCACGUUGCCAUUUUUUGUUUUGUUUUGAUUUGGUUUAUUAAUGAUUUUAUUCUGGAAUGCUAAAGGAAAAGCAAUGGAGAAUAUGAGACGAAAGACUGAGCUCUGGUUGGAAAGGUUUUACCACCAAGCAGGGAAGCAGAUGAGCACAGCUCUUGGCUCUGGGAGAUUAGGUUCAAGGGAGUAGAAAUAGGGAGGCUUUCUUAAAGCCAAAGGGCCUUGAGCUGCCCUGUGUUAGGAAAGCAAAGUCUCUGAGUGCUGCUGAGUGGGUAAUGGUCUCUGGGGUCAUUCGACGGCUGAGCCCCGGCUGACUGAGGUGUCCGCAGUCAGAGGUGAGGGGCCUACCUUGGGAUCAUGACAUUGUAUUAGUUUCCUGUUGCUGCUGUAACACAUUGCCACAAACAGUGGCUUAAAGCAGCACAGAUUCAUUAUCUCACACUUCUGGAGGUCAGAAACUGCGUGGGUCUCAGUGACUCACAGCAAGGCAGCGACACAGCUGCCAUCCCUCGGGAGGCUCUUUUGGAGACUGUUUCCUGCCUUUUCCCACUCCCAGAGGCCGCCUGCAUUCCUGAGCUCGCAGUCCCUUCCUCCAUGUGUAUAACCCACAGCACAGCAUCCUCAUAGCUCUCUGACUCUGACCCUGACUCUCUCCUCUCCCUCUUCAGCUUUUUUUUUUUUUUCCUGCUUUAUCUCCCAAAAUCCCCCCUGGUACAUAGUUGUAUAUCUUAGUUGCAGGUCCUUCUAGUCGUGGCAUAUGGGACGCCGCCUCAACGUGACCUGAUGGGCGGCACCAAGUUCGCGCCCAGGAUCUGAACCAGCGAAACCCUGGGCCGAAGCAGAGUGCGCGAACUUAACCACUCGGCCACGGGGCUUGCCCCCUCUCUUCCGCUUUUACUGAGCCUUGUGAUUACAUUGGGCACACCUGGGUAAUCCAGGCUACUCUCCCAUCUCAAGAUCCUUAAUUGAGCCACACCUGCAAAGUCCCUUUUGCCAGGGAGGGUAACAGAUUCACAGGUUCUGGGUAUUAGCAUGUGGACAUCAUUGGGGGGCCGUUAUUCUGCCCACCACAGGCAUCUACCUACUUCUGCUGAAGUGUGAUCCUUGGAGGAUGGGGUCCCACUGCUCCUGCUGCUGCUGUGAGGUGCCUGCCUCCAAAUCGUGGUGCCAGCAGAUCUGUAAAGUUAGAAGGAAGAGCACCGCUUGUCUGGAGAGACAAACUGGAAACAAAACCUCCAGACAAGAUGAAGAUUUCGUUGGGACUUUCAGUCAAGAUGGCUCAGUUAGUUCCUUCCUCAACGCCUGUGCUCCAAACCCAUGGAAAGGGCAGGAUAUUUAUUAAUGGGGAGGAGAUAGAGCAAAGUUCAUAAAGGAGAUGAUCUUCUCUGUGCACGAAGAAAGAGACAGGAAGGCCAAAUGCGAGCAGGGCUACAAGGAGGACCUAGAGGCUCCCAGGUCCGGAAGCAGCACUGGAAUCCAGGGCUUGACUCCUGUAAAGGGGACUAAAAGUGCUCACGGCACACAGGAACUCGUGCACAGCUCACGGCGUGAGGCCAGGGGCUGGGGUGAGGCUCCUCGCCUCGCAGCACACGUGCAAGGAUGCUGAAACUAAAUGACUUUGUCCCAAUUCCACCUGGGACUUUGGCUUUUAGAAAGCUGCUAGCCUCGGGGGAAACAAGGACACAGAUAUGGAUUCACAUCCAGGAACUCAGCUGAGCUGCCCAUGGCUAACGGCCUGGACCAGUGACAUUUCCCAUCUGACAGCACAGCAGGAACCCAAAGCACUAGCGUGGAGCGUGAUUGUGUCUGGAGAUCUUUAGGGCUGGAUGGAGACAGCUCAGAACUCCCAGGCACAUAAUGUGUGUUUUUGGUUGGGGGAGGAUAAAAGAGAAAGAAAUACAAACUAAACAAAUCCACCCAUUCCAAAGUAAGAAGGCUCAACAAAAAUCUAAAACCUAUGACAUAAUAUGACAUUAAAAUACAGCCAAUAAAAUCAACAACUGAAGAAUGAAAUAUUCCAGAAGAAAUAAUUUUAUAGAGUACUUUGACAAAGACAAGCACAACUUUUGGUGUCCUUUCUGUUCAAAUCUUCUGCUCAAAUGCUUAUUUCUCGGCAGAUGGUGAUGGGAGGUCCUGGGUGGAAGUCUGGAAUCUGGGUCUCUAAUGGGCACCAACAAGUGAUUCAGGCACUGAUAACAGUAGAUGAUGCAAUAGGAAGCAGUAUUUACUUCUUUUGUGUUUUCUAUUAGAAUAUUCAAUUCAAUACGAAAUGUAUAGAAGGCUAUAAACAAAAUUUAUUGAGUUGGGAGCUAGUAGAUGAUCUUUCACGUUAUUUGCCUUUUUUCUAUUGUAAACUAUCUUCCUUCUAAAUCACCUCUUAACUCUACUUCCUGCUUCAAUUAUGGCCAGAAAUGUCAGCCCAUAAACAAAGAAGUUUGCUCCAGUGGCAAGUUCAGUGAGAAGACAGCAGUUGCUGAUGGCAGACGUGUAUUUAAACCCAACCUCCAACCUCAUCACGUGAUGAGGAGAGUAAGCCUUUGAAUCACUAUGGGAUGUGUGGACACCUCCACACCAGAGCCUGUUGUUUCCUUCUGGGAAAGGAAUUAUUCCCUCCUAGGUUGGAGUCUGUGCUCCCCAGUCUUUUUCACUUCAUCACAGAUGGUGACCUGUUACAAUACACUGAAUGUUUGUGUCCCCUCAAAUUUCUUUUCUGUAACCUAGUCUCCAAUAUGAUGGUAUUUAGAGGCAGGGCCCUUAGAAGGUGAUUAGAUCCUGAGGGUGAAGCCCUCAUGAAUGAGACUGGUGCCCUUAUAGAAGAGGCCCUGGGAGGUCCCCUGCCCUUCUGCUAUGUGAGCACAAAGCAAAAGAUAGCUGUUUAUGGGGGCUGACCCCAUGGCCCAGUGGUUAAGUUCACACACUCCACUUUGGUGGCCCAGGGUU
This 3313-nucleotide long non-coding RNA is filed under the name Equus asinus (donkey). RNAcentral's name for it is "lncRNA (ENSEASG00005030262.1)". The record is from RNAcentral. Lineage: Eukaryota; Metazoa; Chordata; Mammalia; Perissodactyla; Equidae.